Molecule: non-coding RNA, 271 nt
Organism: Hydra vulgaris (swiftwater hydra)
Lineage: Eukaryota; Metazoa; Cnidaria; Hydrozoa; Anthoathecata; Hydridae
Source: RefSeq, a predicted model, not a curated record
CAUUAAUCAUCAGAUAACAGUUAAGGAAAAUUUUAAUUCAUCACAAUUACGGGAGCUAUGUCUGAGUCUACAAAACAGUUAUAUUGUCGGAUUUUACAAGAAAAGUUAAAAAGCAUUACCCACCAGAAUUAUGAAGCUUUGCUACAACACAAAGUUGUUAGUCCUAGGCUUUGACCUUGACUUAAGGCCUUGGUCUUAAAACUGUUGGUCUUGGUCUUGGCCUUGGUCUUCAAAAAAAGUACAUAAAAUUGAAGAAUUAAAAGAUUUCAUU